AGACCAGCUGCAGUGGCAACAUGGCUGCCCAAGCGAACAAAAAGACACCUAAAUACCUUAUGCUUGUCAGAGAUUCGUCAAAGUCACCGCAAUCACCACCCAGGACAAUUACCCGAUCACAAUCACCGGAGUUCUGAUAACCCGCACCUGCUGUCACCAAUCAAGCCACACUACAAAUACACACACAUCAUAGCCUCUCAGUGUUUGGUCUACCGUUCAUCUCUAUGGACUGUUCUGGACUCUCUCAGCCGAACUUACCGAGAAAGCCUUACCUACGGUUUCUCCUGCAAACCUCCAACGACUCCUUGGAUUCUGAUCCAUGAUCUCCAAUGAACCUGCAUAAGAUACAAACCAUCAGUACUCAGAUAAGAACCCCAGAAACCUUCUCUGUUUUGAUACUCGCCUGCAUUCACUUCACCAUCUUCAUUCAUCUGCAAUCCUGUCAAUAAGGUUCCAAAGAAUAAUGAGGACCUAUAACCAAGGCACACCAACAGAACACAUUUUGGAUGCCCCCCUCAUCUGAGCCAUCCAUUUCAGGUCUUGGAAUCUCUGCUAAUGAGCUGAUGAGUUGAUUCAGUGACAGCAUGGUGAGUCAGCUCCCCUGAAGAGCGCUGGACUUUCCUAGCAUUGCUGUGAUACCCGAGUGCUUUGCAGAAACAGGCAGCACUUCCCAUCAAGCAGCGAUCAGUCAUUUACCCUCACCUGCAGCUCACUGUUCACACACAGGGGCAAAUUUUCUCUGUCCCUGCCUCGCUGUGCCUCACGCCUCUUUCUCAAUUCACCUCGUGCCACGCUGAGCAGUCCGAACAGUGGACGGAGAGGUGCGUGUGUUAUCAGCCCACUGAGAGAUAAUGCCACACAGGGUCUCAUUGUCUUUCACGUGCACUUGUGAGCGGGGAGAUGUGGAAAGAAGGCUGACCUGCACAUUUAGAGCUAAAUAUUCAGGAAUGACACCAUCCAAGGGUUCAUGAUGACAGAAAAGAUGAUGAGUCUCCCAUAAUGAACAGGUUACAUGAGGUUACAUAAAUAGAACAGGUUACAGGUUUGGAUAGGGACAUUUCACCCUAAAUGGAAUGUUUUGUCAUCAUUUACUAACUUUUUUUUUUCUUUUUUCUUUUUUUUUUAGGAUUUUUUUCUUCUGUGGAGCACAUUUGUAGAUGAUUAGUUUUAUGUCUUUUAUUUGUAUGUAAGGUGUCCUUGAGUGUCAUGUAAUAAUACAAUUUGUUAUUAUUAUUAUUAUUAUUAUUAUUAUUAUUAUUAUUAUUAUUAGCAGA
This is a long non-coding RNA of Cyprinus carpio carpio, 1274 nucleotides long. Lineage: Eukaryota; Metazoa; Chordata; Actinopteri; Cypriniformes; Cyprinidae. The record is from Ensembl.